GUGAUGUUCCAAUGUCACCAGAGAUGCCUGACAACCACAACCAUAUGCUAUCGUUCUACUUCCAUGGCAACCUUACCAGCUUGCACCACCCAAGACACCUACCAGUGCCGAAGCGAAUCGAUGAACGCCUAUUCAUAACGCUCGGGCUUGGCUCCGUUUGUCGGCAAGGCCAGUCCUGCGAGAGAGGAGCAGAGAGCGACGAGGUCAUCGUUGUGGCAACCAUGAAUAAUAUAUCAUACGAGCUCCCCACCGUGUCGAGACCACUGCUAGAAGCCCACUACCAGAACCCCAGCAACAUUGACUGGCUGCAAGAACUCCCUGAUGUACCACCGCGGGUGUUCAACUUCACUGACAGUUCCUUGAUCCCAACAGGACCCAAGGAGGAACAACUAGAGCCGACGUCCAAGGCUGCGUUGGCACGGCGAUUCCGGUAUGGAGCUGUUGUUGAUGUGGUGUUCCAGAGCACGUCAAUGUUGCAGAGCGAGUCCAACCCGAUGCACCUGCACGGACAUGACAUGUUCGUGCUGGCACAGGGCAGCGGCAACUAUGACAAGGAAAGGGAUGUGGCGAAGUACAACCUAGUUAAUCCUCCACUUGUGAACACCGUGCUUGUACCACGGCUUGGAUGGGUGGCUGUCCGGUUUAUUGCGGACAAUCCAGGUACGAACGUGAUUUUAACUUUCUUUUUUUUGCCAAGGAAGAUACAAUUAUGUAGAACAUAACAACUCUUUCUCUUUCGGAAUUUGUUAUAUGAAUAACUGCCCUACGAUACACUAGCUAGGUUUAAAGUUUGAUUUGUAUGUAUGAGGCUGAAAAGU
Molecule: long non-coding RNA, 818 nt
Filed under: Setaria viridis
Lineage: Eukaryota; Viridiplantae; Streptophyta; Magnoliopsida; Poales; Poaceae
Description: long non-coding RNA (SVIR_LNC009935)
Source: RNAcentral